RNAcentral lists this ribosomal RNA (405 nucleotides) under uncultured bacterium. Its description in RNAcentral is "partial 16S ribosomal RNA". It matches the Rfam family "Bacterial small subunit ribosomal RNA", at positions 30 to 526 of the family's 1533-position model. The record is from RNAcentral.
AUUGAACGCUGGCGGCAGGCUUAACACAUGCAAGUCGAACGAGUGGCGGACGGGUGAGUAAUGCUUGGGAAUCUGGCUUAUGGAGGGGGAUAACGCCGGGAAACUGUCGCUAAUACCGCGUACCAUCGGAUGAGCCCAAGUUGGUUUAGGUAGGUGGUGGGGUAAUGGCCUACCAAGGCGACGAUCCCUAGCUGGUCUGAGAGGAUGACCAGCCACACCGGGACUGAGAGAGGGCCCGGACUCCUACGGGAGGCAGCAGUGGGGAAGAUUGGGCAAUGGGGGCAACCUGACGCAGCCAUGCCGCGUGAAUGAAGAAGGCCUUCGGGUUGUAAAGUUCUUUCGUUGACAAGGCGUUAAUCACAGAAGAAGCACCGGCUAACUCCGUGCCAGCAGCCGCGGUAAUAC